UCCAAUCCUGCCAAUCUCUGGUUCCAUGGUCACUAACCAUUCGAGUGAGACGACAGAGGCAGAGGACAUAGUGGUGGUGGGUCAAGAAGAAGAAGAUGAAGCAGAGGCGGCUUCUUGGUUGUUGCCUACUUCAGUUAAAAACUGUGGUGACAACAACAAUAACAACAACAACAGUCAGGACAAUAGGUUCUCGGUUGGUGAAGAGUAUCUGGACCUUGUCGAUUACAGUAAGUAUCAACAAGACUACAACGUACCUCAGAGGAGGAGCUAUGUGGCAGAUGGGGUUGUUCCACUUCAGGUUGAAGUAUCAAAGAGUCUGAGUCACAUGCACCACGAGCAACACAACUUUCAGUUUGGUUUCACCAAUGUCUCCUCAGAAGCUUCCCCAAUUCAUAUGGUUAGUCUUGUGCCAGAGUCAACAUUGAGUGAGACAACAGUUUCAAACCCAAGAUCGCCCAAAGCGGCAACGGAGGAAUUACCUGAAGCCCCAGUUCAGAUGCUGAGUCCAAUGGAGAGAAAGGCUAGGGUGAUGAGGUAUAGAGAGAAGAAGAAGACAAGGAAGUUUGAGAAGACGAUAAGGUAUGCUUCAAGGAAAGAGUAUGCAGAGAAAAGACCAAGGAUCAAAGGCCGGUUUGCAAAGAGGAACGAAGUUGAUGCAGAGGAGGCAGACAAAGCUUUCUCCUCAAUGGUCAUGUUUGACACAGGAUAUGGAAUUGUUCCUUCAUUCUGAUAAUACUCGUAUGGUUUAACUAGAUUCCAUGCUUGUAGUUAUCACCACUGUAAUGCAAAUAGGUCUCUAUUUUUGUCUAACUAGUACGAAUUAAUUAGAUAUAUUUUUAUUUUGCUGUUGUAGUUACUAUCCUUAAGUCUAAAUUCAAACCGAUGCUAUAGAGAUAUGUGCGUUACUUUAGCUAGAUGUACCAAGAACAGUUAACAAUGAACUCACCUUGCAAAAAGGUUCAGACAAGUAGUGAUUGCUUUCUUG
RNAcentral lists this long non-coding RNA (985 nucleotides) under Brassica rapa (field mustard). Its description in RNAcentral is "long non-coding RNA (BRAP_LNC007930)". The record is from RNAcentral. Lineage: Eukaryota; Viridiplantae; Streptophyta; Magnoliopsida; Brassicales; Brassicaceae.